AUAAACGCUGGCGGCGUGCAUUAUGCAUGCAAGUCGAACGGUGCCCGCAAGGGUACAGUGGCAAACGGGUGAGUAACACAUCGGAACGUACCCAGGAGUGGGGGACAACCUCGAGAAAUCGAGGCUAAUACCGCAUACGUCCUGAGGGAGAAAGCGGGGGAUCCGUAAGGACCUCGCGCUCAUGGAGCGGCCGAUGUCGGAUUAGCUAGUUGGCGGGGUAAAAGCCCACCAAGGCUACGAUCCGUAGCUGGUUUGAGAGAACGACCAGCCACACUGGGACUGAGACACGGCCCAGACUCCUACGGGAGGCAGCAGUGGGGAAUUUUGGACAAUGGGGGCAACCCUGAUCCAGCCAUGCCGCGUGAGUGAAGAAGGCCUUCGGGUUGUAAAGCUCUUUCGGCCGGAACGAAAUCGCGUACGUGAAUAACGUGCGUGGAUGACGGUACUGGAAGAAGAAGCACCGGCUAACUACGU
This 474-nucleotide ribosomal RNA is filed under the name uncultured bacterium. RNAcentral's name for it is "bacterial SSU rRNA". It matches the Rfam family "Bacterial small subunit ribosomal RNA", at positions 29 to 506 of the family's 1533-position model. The record is from RNAcentral.